GAAUCCUUGUGAUUUACCUAACUGGAUAUUAGGGACUGCAAAGCAGAAAAUAAGAUAAUUAUGAUAUGCUGGUGUUGCAUCUCACCUGCGUUUAAUCUGAUCACUAACUUUAGAACCGAAGCCCUUCCCCUACCAGAAACUAUAACUCUACAAAACCAUUGCCAAGGGAUGAGAAUGAUACCAUUCAGCGGAACUACAAACAAGAAAGUCAAACUGGAAAACCAGAAAACAGAUGGCUAAACUCUUUUCUAAACUUUUCCAAGAGCAGUGUUUAUGCAGGUUUCCAUUGGAAGGAGAAGACUGUCUUUAGCCCACUGCAUCCCCUCAAGCCAUCCCAAGCUUUCUCUGUGCCAGGGACUGGACGCACGCUAAAAUACGAACCUGUGUGGACUUCUUUCUUAGGAGCCUUUGCACCAGCACAAGUCCAUUCAAAGGACAUCCCAACAUCAUCAGUUAACCAAGUGUGUGUUCCACCCCAGGGAAGGACAGCGUAGGGCCGAGAGGAAUCACGGCUGAAUGGUCUGAGAUCCCGACCUGCAGAAGUAACUGGCCACUUCAGGGAAGAGAUGACUAAGAGCACUUAGAAUUUAUCCAGCUCUCAAGGCGACUUCACCAAGGAACAACCACAGUGUUGUUUUUUCACAGAAACACCAAAC
This 656-nucleotide long non-coding RNA is filed under the name Homo sapiens (human). RNAcentral's name for it is "HSALNT0115907". The record is from RNAcentral. Lineage: Eukaryota; Metazoa; Chordata; Mammalia; Primates; Hominidae.